CAACUUUUAUUUUAUAUGGGACCCAUUUUAAAACCAUAUCAUGCUUGGUCAUAUCUUAAUUUAAUAGAAACAUAUUGUGGAUGCUGCGUUAGAGGAAGCCGAGAGAGGCCAUGCACUAUUAUUAUUUUUGCUUGCUUGUUUUCUCGUGACCACGAAUUAAUUUCUGGUAUCUCACUGAGUGGCCAAAGACAGAGCGGCAGAAUGAGUGUAAAGUGAAUAGGUGUGCUGAUUCAAGUCGUUCACUGAAAAGAACCAGUUCAAAAGAACGAUUCGUUCACGAACUGGACAUCAGAUGCCAACCGCUGUUAAAAAUAACAAGAAGACGACGAUCGGACGCUGUUCUUCAACGGAGCUGCAAGUAGUCUAAACAAACGGUAAUAAGAGUAUAUUAAAGAACAUUAAUGAUAAAACACGGAUAUUUUACACAUCAGCAGAAGAAUAACAACAGUUGAAGAUGAGUAAUCGGGAGGCUCACGGUCCGGAGCAUCAACACCAUCCUCCUCGGCCGGACAUCGAGGCAGCCUGAGCUAAGUUUGUAAUAACUAUCAAAGUGAAUAGAAUAAUUCCACUCCAAGUUUUAUUAAUGUGAAGACUGCAACACUUGUGUUAAACUGUAUAUGAAUGGUAUUGCGUUUCUCAAAGCAGAGCAAAGAUCCUUACGUCACAGACAUUUGUUUAAUAGUCUACAAUGGAUAUGUGAAACGCAAAGAUAAUGAUAUUUCUUUAAAUGUGGUUAGGAAAACAAUUCUAUCUUUAUUAUUGUCCAUACAAAAACAAAUGUAAGAUUUUAGCCUAAUUCCGCUUUUCUUUUUAUAUUACUUAUCAGGACCAAAGAGUGUCAUUUCUCCUGAAUUGAGCCUCUAUGGUGUGAUGUUUGGUCAGCCGUCUCUUGUACUAUGAAGAACUGCAAUGGAAGAAGAGACAGUGCUUGAUUCGGCAGGUGAACUGCACCUAUUUUAUGGUGGAGCAACUUUUUCAAGAGGAAAUUGUUGACAAUAGUCCCUUUCACACAUACAGUCUUUACUGGUAAUUUACUGGUAAAUUGCAGUUAACAUGUCAUGUGUGAACAGAACCUUUCCGGUAAAUCAGUGCUCCCAAUUUACCAGUAAGAACUAAGACAGGUUGUAAGAUUAACGGUAAUUUGCCGGUAAGCGCUGUGUGUGAACGAAAAAUAUAGCAUUACCGGCAUUUAGUCAAGCAAACUGUAAUUUUACGCAUCUGGUUUAUUUUCUGGGCUGAUCUGCUUGGUAUGUUUUACCAAAAAAGUGUAAACCGAAUUUAAUCUUUUAAUUCAACUUACUUAUCUUGAUGCAUUAAGAAAAUGCAUAAAGGCCUGGUUUCACAGACAAGGCUUAGCUAAAGCUAAAAUCUUAAGAAAAAUCACUAGCACUGGCUUAUUUUAAAAUCUUGCAUUGAAAGUUCUUUUCAAUUGAGACAGCUCAAACAUGUGUCUUAGUCAAGGACUAUAGGCUUAAGCCUUGUCUGUGAAACUAGGGAUAAGCAUUUAUCUCAUUAAGUAACAAAGUAAUGUUCAUAUAGCAAUCAUAUAGCUUUAAGAUAAUACAAGUCAUGUGUUUCACGUCAUGCUCAGUUAAACAGACAAUUAUGAUUAUAGAGGAAGUUUACAGAUUUCCAAUCCACUUUGUAAUGUUACAAUGUCUGUAAUAUAUGUAAUCUGUCAUUUGACAGAGUAUUGUCAAGAACUAAUUGGGAAUUUAAGUUUAACUCAAGAAAAAAAGCGUAAACAUUGUCCGUUCAAAUACCCCAAUUUAUUGUAAAAAUAUAAAGUGAGUUGAAAAUCUGCAAACUUAUGCUUUGAGGCAGUGAUUGCAAUAUAUAUAAUGUUUGGCAGUUUUGUAUGUCCAUCCAGUUGCCAUCAUCUGAAGUCUCUGAGAGUGUAGGUGUCAUCUGAUGUCUUUACAAGUGAGGCUGGAUCCAUACUGGAGCUUCUGUAACCUGUAUG
This is a non-coding RNA of Misgurnus anguillicaudatus (oriental weatherfish), 1963 nucleotides long. The record is from RefSeq and is a predicted model, not a curated record. NCBI's taxonomy places the organism in Eukaryota, Metazoa, Chordata, Actinopteri, Cypriniformes, Cobitidae.